UGGGGAAUAUUGCACAAUGGGCGAAAGCCUGAUGCAGCAACGCCGCGUGAGUGAUGAAGGCCUUCGGGUUGUAAAGCUCUGUCUUUUGGGACGAUAAUGACGGUACCAAAGGAGGAAGCCACGGCUAACUACGUGCCAGCAGCCGCGGUAAUACGUAGGUGGCAAGCGUUGUCCGGAUUUACUGGGCGUAAAGGAUGCGUAGGCGGAUUUUUAAGUGAGAUGUGAAAUACCCGGGCUUAACUUGGGUGCUGCAUUUCAAACUGGGAAUCUAGAGUGCGGGAGAGGAGAAUGGAAUUCCUAGUGUAGCGGUGAAAUGCGUAGAGAUUAGGAAGAACACCAGUGGCGAAGGCGAUUCUCUGGACCGUAACUGACGCUGAGGCAUGAAAGCGUGGGUAGCAAACAGGAUUAGAUACCCUGGUAGUCCACGCCGUAAACGAUGAGUACUAGGUGUAGGAGGUAUCGACCCCUUCUGUGCCGCAGUUAACACAAUCAAGUACUCCGCCUGGGGAAGUACGAUCGCAAGAUUAAAAACUC
This 534-nucleotide ribosomal RNA is filed under the name uncultured bacterium. Its description in RNAcentral is "partial 16S ribosomal RNA". It matches the Rfam family "Bacterial small subunit ribosomal RNA", at positions 355 to 902 of the family's 1533-position model. The record is from RNAcentral.